Molecule: unclassified non-coding RNA, 171 nt
Filed under: uncultured Pochonia
Lineage: Eukaryota; Fungi; Ascomycota; Sordariomycetes; Hypocreales; Clavicipitaceae
Description: sequence contains ITS1
Source: RNAcentral
CCGAGUUUUUCUACUCCCAAACCCCUGUGAACUUAUACCUUUACUGUUGCUUCGGCGGGUUAACGCCCCGGAAGGCCCAAAAAGCCGCCGGAACCAGGCGCCCGCCGGGGGACCCAAACUCUUGUAUUUCUUACUUUGCAUGUCUGAGUGGAAUCAUAAACAAAUGAAUCA